This 267-nucleotide ribosomal RNA is filed under the name uncultured bacterium. RNAcentral describes it as "partial 16S ribosomal RNA". It matches the Rfam family "Bacterial small subunit ribosomal RNA", at positions 87 to 354 of the family's 1533-position model. The record is from RNAcentral.
UUGACUGAGCGGCGGACGGGUGAGUAACGCGUGGGUAACCUGCCUUACACAGGGGGAUAACAGUUAGAAAUGACUGCUAAUACCGCAUAAGACCCCGGUACCGCAUGGUACAGAGGUAAAAACUGAGGUGGUGUAAGAUGGACCCGCGUCUGAUUAGGUAGUUGGUGAGGUAACGGCUCACCAAGCCGACGAUCAGUAGCCGGCCUGAGAGGGUGGACGGCCACAUUGGGACUGAGACACGGCCCAGACUCCUACGGAAGGCAGCAG